This 448-nucleotide ribosomal RNA is filed under the name uncultured bacterium. Its description in RNAcentral is "bacterial SSU rRNA". It matches the Rfam family "Bacterial small subunit ribosomal RNA", at positions 355 to 796 of the family's 1533-position model. The record is from RNAcentral.
UGGGGAAUCUUGCGCAAUGGGGGCAACCCUGACGCAGCGACGCCGCGUGAGUGAUGAAGGCCUUCGGGUUGUAAAGCUCUGUGGAGGGAGACGAAUAAGUCAUGGCUAACAUCCACGAUGAUGACGGUAUCCCUUUAGCAAGCACCGGCUAACUCUGUGCCAGCAGCCGCGGUAAGACAGAGGGUGCAAACGUUGUUCGGAAUUACUGGGCGUAAAGCGCGUGUAGGCUGCCCUGCAAGUCAGGUGUGAAAGCCCUGGGCUCAACCUAGGAAGUGCACUUGAAACUGCGGGGAUUGAGUGCUGGAGAGGGAAGCGGAAUUCUCGGUGUAGAGGUGAAAUUCGUAGAUAUCGAGAGGAACACCGGUGGCGAAGGCGGCUUCCUGGACAGUAACUGACGCUGAGACGCGAAAGCGUGGGGAGCAAACAGGAUUAGAUACCCCCGUAGUCC